RNAcentral lists this ribosomal RNA (253 nucleotides) under uncultured bacterium. RNAcentral's name for it is "partial 16S ribosomal RNA". It matches the Rfam family "Bacterial small subunit ribosomal RNA", at positions 524 to 776 of the family's 1533-position model. The record is from RNAcentral.
UACGGGGGGGGCAAGCGUUGUUCGGAAUUACUGGGCGUAAAGGGCGCGUAGGCGGUUGGAUAAGUCAGCUGUGAAAACCACGGGCUUAACUCGUGGCCUGCAGUUGAGACUGUCUGGCUUGAGUGUGGGAGAGGAGAGUGGAAUUCCUGGUGUAGCGGUGAAAUGCGUAGAUAUCAGGAGGAACACCGGUGGCGAAGGCGGCUCUCUGGACCACAACUGACGCUGAGGCGCGAAAGCCAGGGGAGCAAACGGG